Molecule: ribosomal RNA, 432 nt
Filed under: uncultured bacterium
Lineage: Bacteria
Description: partial 16S ribosomal RNA
Rfam family: Bacterial small subunit ribosomal RNA
Source: RNAcentral
AACGAACGCUGGCGGCAUGCCUAACACAUGCAAGUCGAACGAGACCUUCGGGUCUAGUGGCGCACGGGUGCGUAACGCGUUGGAACCUUCCCUUAGGUUCGGAAUAACUCCCCGAAAGGGGUGCUAAUACCGGAUAAUGUCUUCGGACCAAAGAUUUAUCGCCUUUGGAUGGGCCCGCGUUGGAUUAGCUAGUUGGUAGGGUAAAAGCCUACCAAGGCGACGAUCCAUAGCUGGUCUGAGAGGAUGAUCAGCCACACUGGGAAUGAGACACGGCCCAGACACCUACGGGAGGCAGAAGUGGGGAAUAUUGGAAAAUGGGCGAAAGCAUGAGACAGCAAUGCCGCGUGAGGGAUGAAGGGCUUAGGGUUGUAAAGCUAUUUUACCCGGGAUGAUAAUGACAGUACCGGGAGAAUAAGCUCCGGCUAACUCCGU